RNAcentral lists this ribosomal RNA (497 nucleotides) under uncultured bacterium. RNAcentral's name for it is "partial 16S ribosomal RNA". It matches the Rfam family "Bacterial small subunit ribosomal RNA", at positions 28 to 507 of the family's 1533-position model. The record is from RNAcentral.
GAUGAACGCUGGCGGCGUGCCUAAUACAUGCAAGUCGAGCGAACGCACCAGAAGCUUGCUUCUCUGAUGUUAGCGGCGGACGGGUCCGUCACUCGUGGAUAACCUACCUAUACGACUGGGGUACUUUCGCGAAACCGGAGCUUCUACCCGAUAAUAUUUUGACCCUCAUUGUUCAAACGUUGAAUACGGUCUUUCUGUCACUUAUAGCCGAAUCCGCCUUGCAUUAGCUGGUUGGUAAGGUAACGGCUUACCCACGCUACGAUGGAUACCCGACCUGAACGGGUGGACCGCUAGACGGGAACUGAGACAGGGCCCAGACACCUGCGGGAGGAAACAGUAGGGAAUCUUACGCGAUGGGGGAGAGGCUGACGGAGCAACGCCGCGUGAGUGAUGAAGGUCUUCGGCUGGGAAAGUGAUGUUAGUAGGGAAGAACAUAUGUGUAAGUAACUGUGCACAUAAUGACGGUACCGAAAGAGAAAGCCACGGCUAACUACGUG